AUUCAGCUGAAGAGUCCCAAAUAAAACGAAACCCUAAAU
This 39-nucleotide non-coding RNA is filed under the name Schistosoma margrebowiei. Lineage: Eukaryota; Metazoa; Platyhelminthes; Trematoda; Strigeidida; Schistosomatidae. The record is from RNAcentral.